GACGAACGCUGGCGGCGUGCUUAACACAUGCAAGUCGAACGGAAAGGCUCCAGCUUGCUGGAGUACUCGAGUGGCGAACGGGUGAGUAACACGUGGGUAAUCUGCCCUGCACUCUGGGAUAAGCCUGGGAAACUGGGUCUAAUACUGGAUAUGACCUUUCUCCUUAUGGGGUUUGGUGGAAAGUUUUUCGGUGUAGGAUGAGCCCGCGGCCUAUCAGCUUGUUGGUGGGGUGAUGGCCUACCAAGGCGACGACGGGUAGCCGGCCUGAGAGGGUGAUCGGCCACAUUGGGACUGAGAUACGGCCCAGACUCCUACGGGAGGCAGCAGUGGGGAAUAUUGCACAAUGGGCGGAAGCCUGAUGCAGCGACGCCGCGUGAGGGAUGACGGCCUUCGGGUUGUAAACCUCUUUCAGCAGGGACGAAGCGUAAGUGACGGUACCUGCAGAAGAAGCACCGUCUAACUAUGUG
RNAcentral lists this ribosomal RNA (467 nucleotides) under uncultured bacterium. Its description in RNAcentral is "partial 16S ribosomal RNA". It matches the Rfam family "Bacterial small subunit ribosomal RNA", at positions 28 to 507 of the family's 1533-position model. The record is from RNAcentral.